This 208-nucleotide ribosomal RNA is filed under the name uncultured bacterium. RNAcentral describes it as "partial 16S ribosomal RNA". It matches the Rfam family "Bacterial small subunit ribosomal RNA", at positions 109 to 334 of the family's 1533-position model. The record is from RNAcentral.
AGUAACACGUAGGAACGUACCCCAAAGUGAGGCAUAAGCACCAGAAAUGGUGUCUAAUACCGCAUGUGCUCUUCGGAGUAAAGCUACGGCGCUUUGGGAACGGCCUGCGCAUGAUUAGCUUGUUGGUGAGGUAAUAGCUCACCAAGGCGACGAUCAUUAGCUGGUCUGAGAGGAUGACCAGCCAGACUGGGACUGAGGCACGGCCCAG